This 393-nucleotide ribosomal RNA is filed under the name uncultured bacterium. Its description in RNAcentral is "partial 16S ribosomal RNA". It matches the Rfam family "Bacterial small subunit ribosomal RNA", at positions 523 to 918 of the family's 1533-position model. The record is from RNAcentral.
AUACGGAGGAUGCGAGCGUUAUCCGGAUUUAUUGGGUUUAAAGGGUGCGUAGGCUGUGCGUUAAGUCAGGGGUGAAAUGCCGUCGCUCAACGACGGAGCUGCCCUUGAUACUGGCGUGCUGGAGUACGGAUGCCGUUGGAGGAAUGAGUGGUGUAGCGGUGAAAUGCUUAGAUAUCACUCAGAACACCGAUUGCGAAGGCAUCUGACGAAUCCGUCACUGACGCUGAGGCACGAAAGCGUGGGGAAAGAACAGGAUUAGAUACCCUGGUAUUCCACGCCGUAAACGAUGAUGACUAACCGUCGGCGAUAGACAGCCGGUGGCCAAGCGAAAGCGAUAAGUCAUCCACCUGGGGAGUACGUCGGCAACGAUGAAACUCAAAUGAAUUGGCGGGG